CCGGUCAGAACGCCGAGUCCUGUCCCUGGCCCGCCGGGAAACGACAACCACCAAGGGCAGGAGCGGGGGACCCAGGUAAGCGCCGUACCACUGCGCAGCAGUGACACGGCUUGGGGUGAAGCCGCGCAUACGCGGCCGGGCAACUCCAGCCCGAACCCGACAGCUCACCUCGCAGGCGUGGGAGAGGAACA
This 191-nucleotide small RNA is filed under the name Wenjunlia vitaminophila. Its description in RNAcentral is "Streptomyces vitaminophilus c-di-AMP sequence". The stretch from base 39 to 191 matches the Rfam family "c-di-AMP riboswitch aptamer (ydaO/yuaA leader)". From Rfam's summary of the family: This family represents a conserved RNA structure found upstream of the ydaO and yuaA genes in Bacillus subtilis and related genes in other bacteria. The ydaO/yuaA element is thought to act as a genetic "off" switch for the ydaO and yuaA genes in its native state. The record is from RNAcentral. Lineage: Bacteria; Bacillati; Actinomycetota; Actinomycetes; Kitasatosporales; Streptomycetaceae.